RNAcentral lists this long non-coding RNA (443 nucleotides) under Cyanistes caeruleus (blue tit). RNAcentral's name for it is "lncRNA (ENSCCEG00000019345.1)". The record is from RNAcentral. Lineage: Eukaryota; Metazoa; Chordata; Aves; Passeriformes; Paridae.
UGAGAGUCAGAGAAUAAGGGAGAGCUGUAGCCCCUGGAGAGGAGUAGAACUAAGGAGUGGGCCUAAAAGACUGAGAAGAGUGUUGAGAGGAAUUGCCCAAGACACUCCUGUAGAACACUAACCACUGGAGAGGGAUGGUCCACUGGGUGACGAAAGGUCCAGACUGAGAGCUGGGAAAUCUACAGCAGCCAGAGAGCAAGGAGAAUCAGCAUCCUGAUUUCAAUCCAGCAUCCUGAACAAGUAGUGACAUGGUGUGAUGGUGGAAGUGUGGAAGAUGGGAAGGGACCAGAUAUGAGAAAUCUUCCUUUUAGAUCCAGAUAAGGCUUUCAGCUGACAUUUUCUGGAAGCUAUGCUGAUGAUGCUUGUAAGAUUGAGGGAAGUGCUCUAAGGAGUGAGAAUAUUAUGCAGUAAUUAAUAAAAGAAGUUGAAAGGUGAGUAGGAGC